AGCUAGAUGGCUUAUAAAGAUUGGUCGUUUUAAAACUUAGGUGGACGGCUUUAGAAGCAAAUAGCUUCAACUUUUAUAUAAUAUUGAUUAGUUGUUUGUGA
Molecule: small RNA, 101 nt
Filed under: Arabidopsis thaliana (thale cress)
Lineage: Eukaryota; Viridiplantae; Streptophyta; Magnoliopsida; Brassicales; Brassicaceae
Description: ATSL151300
Source: RNAcentral